GGGGCGGGGGCGGGGGCGCCGCAGCCGGACCGCCCGUCGCCGGCGGGGAAGCGCGGGGCGGCUCCGCGCUCGGUGGUUUUCGGGUUCUGGCUCUUCGGGUUGAUGCAGGGGUGACCCAAAGCCGUGAGCGUGGGAGGAACAUCUAGAGGGUGACGCCUGACGGCAGAAGGGAUCGUGUGGACCAGCUCUAAUACUGGACAGAUGAGGAAUCCCAGUGACAACGGGAUGAUACCCAGUGCUGCUGUGCUUCCAUCUGAACAGAUACCCAUUUGCCCCAUUGUUUAUAGCUCACUUCUUGAAAUGCAUAUGCCUAUUUCAAAUUGAAAGAAAUUCUCAAUACAGUAGGAAUACUGUUCAAUGAU
Molecule: long non-coding RNA, 362 nt
Organism: Canis lupus familiaris (dog)
Lineage: Eukaryota; Metazoa; Chordata; Mammalia; Carnivora; Canidae
Exons: 2
Source: RefSeq, a predicted model, not a curated record